AGGAGGAACAGCCCCAGUGGCGGGGCCAGCUCUGGAAACCUGGAUUCAGCCCCCGCAGGAACUCCGUCUGCAGGGCCUGGAGGCUCCGGGGCGGG
This 95-nucleotide microRNA precursor is filed under the name Canis lupus familiaris (dog). RNAcentral's name for it is "mir-8834 microRNA precursor family". It matches the Rfam family "mir-8834 microRNA precursor family". Lineage: Eukaryota; Metazoa; Chordata; Mammalia; Carnivora; Canidae. The record is from Rfam by way of RNAcentral.